CUACAAUGGCGCAUACAAAGAGAAGCGACCUCGCGAGAGCAAGCGGACCUCAUAAAGUGCGUCGUAGUCCGGAUUGGAGUCUGCAACUCGACUCCAUGAAGUCGGAAUCGCUAGUAAUCGUGGAUCAGAAUGCCACGGUGAAUACGUUCCCGGGCCUUGUACACACCGCCCGUCACACCAUGGGAGUGGGUUGCAAAAGAAGUAGGUAGCUUAACCUUCGGGAGGGCGCUACCACUUUGUGAUUCAUGACUGGGGUGAAGUCGUAACAAGGUAACCGUAGGGGAACCUGCGGUUGGAUCACCUCCUUA
RNAcentral lists this ribosomal RNA (308 nucleotides) under Salmonella enterica. RNAcentral's name for it is "partial 16S ribosomal RNA". It matches the Rfam family "Bacterial small subunit ribosomal RNA", at positions 1225 to 1533 of the family's 1533-position model. The record is from RNAcentral. Lineage: Bacteria; Pseudomonadati; Pseudomonadota; Gammaproteobacteria; Enterobacterales; Enterobacteriaceae.